RNAcentral lists this non-coding RNA (21 nucleotides) under Arabidopsis thaliana (thale cress). Lineage: Eukaryota; Viridiplantae; Streptophyta; Magnoliopsida; Brassicales; Brassicaceae. The record is from RNAcentral.
UUGACCUUGUAAGACCUUUUC